AAGCUGUCUGGUUCCCGUUUUCGGAAAAAUGAUCCGGACUCAGGGUGUUCCUUGGAACCACAAAUUAUACUAAAAGCCAUGACUCAACUGGAUUAGCCUGGAUAGGUAAAUCCAGAAUCGAGUCAGCUGAUUCCAGGGUUCAUAUAAAAACCCCAGGGUGUCUCCAUUUAUCGGGUUUUGCUAUCUCACGUUUUCCUUCCUUCGACGAAAAACGAUCGCAGCUGAGUGUUUUCUGAAAACCGAGCGCAGGCGAGGUAGUAAAAAUCCAGAUUGUGUGAGUACCGUGUGCCAAUAGUACCAUGUGCCAACAGUACCCAUGGCUACAUCAAAUGGGUUUGCCAUAGCUAGAGAUGCUACUCCAACAAUUGUGGAUGAAAGGAAUAUACAAAUGGAUCAGAUGAAGGAAGUACUGAAAAAUUUUACUGAAGAGAUCCGUAGUAUGAAGAAUAUCCUGAGCGUGAUGGGUCAUAUUGUAAUAGCUCUACUGGUAGUAAUUUUUACAUAUUUGAAUGUAUAAGAAUGUAGGUGUUUGAAUUUCUAAUGAACUAUAUGGUCCAUUAUUAGCAAUGAAAUGACAAGUUGUUUA
This is a long non-coding RNA of Macadamia integrifolia, 586 nucleotides long. RefSeq lists it as uncharacterized. NCBI's taxonomy places the organism in Eukaryota, Viridiplantae, Streptophyta, Magnoliopsida, Proteales, Proteaceae. The record is from RefSeq and is a predicted model, not a curated record. The transcript is spliced from 3 exons.